This 493-nucleotide long non-coding RNA is filed under the name Drosophila guanche. The record is from RNAcentral. Lineage: Eukaryota; Metazoa; Arthropoda; Insecta; Diptera; Drosophilidae.
CCUUGGGAUACUCAUUCCUAUUCUUGUUGCACUUUGUAUAAUGGAGCCCAAUAUAGAGCGACAAAGAAACAAGCUUUUGGGUUACUUCUUCUGUGUUACAAUUGUUAUAUUCUCAUAAGAAAAAGCAAAUCAUACAGCUUCAGCCCACUUGGUAUCCCGAAACGACUGUCCAUCCACAUCCAUUCCAUCCAUUCCUCGCAGGCAUCAUACACCCAAGGCGACUGACAGGGCAUCUGUGGGUCGGCCAUCUUCAUCUUCAUCUUCAUCUCCAUCUCAAGUGGCGGACAGCCUCCGCCUUGUGUUUGAUUUCCAUAUGAAUGUGAUUUUGAUUAGCAAAUGCUUUCAAUUGCCGCUGCUGCUGCUAGGAGCUACCAUUUUGACAGCGGACCAGCACCGUGCGGACUUCCUGUAUCGCAUUGGGGGACUGCAAGACAUAUGAAAGACAAGUGUUCCAAUGCCUGCCCCCUAUCACCCCUCUCCCCGUGGUGCGAUG